Molecule: transfer RNA, 82 nt
Filed under: Podarcis lilfordi (Lilford's wall lizard)
Lineage: Eukaryota; Metazoa; Chordata; Lepidosauria; Squamata; Lacertidae
Rfam family: tRNA
About the family: Transfer RNA (tRNA) molecules are approximately 80 nucleotides in length. Their secondary structure includes four short double-helical elements and three loops (D, anti-codon, and T loops). Further hydrogen bonds mediate the characteristic L-shaped molecular structure. tRNAs have two regions of fundamental functional importance: the anti-codon, which is responsible for specific mRNA codon recognition, and the 3' end, to which the tRNAs corresponding amino acid is attached (by aminoacyl-tRNA synthetases). tRNAs cope with the degeneracy of the genetic code in two manners: having more than one tRNA (with a specific anti-codon) for a particular amino acid; and 'wobble' base-pairing, i.e. permitting non-standard base-pairing at the 3rd anti-codon position.
Source: Rfam by way of RNAcentral
GACGAGGUGGCCGAAAGGUGAAGGCGAUGGACUUGAAAUUCAUUGUGCUGUGCACGUGUGGGUUCGAAUCCCACCCUUGUCG